UUUUCGUGUCCCUGGAAAUUGCAUCAAGGAAAGGUAUGUGUAAACUGAUCAGAGCUCAUGAGAUAACUGGCAAAUAUUAGUGGAGGGUUUUAGGGGAAAGAUAUGUUCUCCUCCUUCCUCAGUAGCUACCAGAAGAAACUCUGACUGUCCCCCAUGACUUGACGAUGUGAAACUAUGAACACUGAGCUGCAACUGCCAGAGCAUCGGACACAUGACUCAGAGAAACGGGAAUUUGGAAAAGCAGAGCUGUCCUAUCAAAAUAGCCUUUAAAGCACUAGCUGUGUGACCUUGUGAAAGAAUCAGUUAAAUAGUAUUCAUUUUCUCCAAAAUACUUCCUCAUCUCAGCUCCUCAAAAGAAUUUCUAUGCUAUUGUUAAAGAUAUUUUGAAUUAGUGGUCAUAAAGUACUUUUAAAACAUCCCUGUGAAGGGCUUUAGAGCUGCACCCUGUAGCAUCGGGAGGAUUCAUUCCUGUUCAAACAAGAGAACAGAGAACAAGACUGGCUGCAGCAGGUGCCUGCUUCAAAGAUUCAAGUCGAGUGGAAUCAGAAAAGAACAGGCAGUGCAGAUGGUUAAAAAUUCAUAAUCUGCCUCUCUCCAACAUGCUUUGUGCCUGAGGAGCUGUGCCCCAUGGACGGCUUCAAGAAGGCUCCACUGCCCGCUGGCUUUCAGCUGACCAGUGGGAAGCGCCAGUCAAAGGUUCUCUAUGCUGGUAAAUAUCAUUGAAAAGCUGUCCUAUCAAGUUUUGAAGAAAAAAAUUAACAGACUCGAGGAACGUCCUUUAAAGUAAUCAGUGGGUCUUAACCAUAGCUGCCCAUUAGAAUCACCUGGGCAGACUUUGGAACUCCAAUGCCUAAGGCACGCUCCAGUCUAUUUAAUUAAGAACCCUACAUGUGGACCCAAAUGUCAGUACUUUUUAAAGUUCUCUACAUGAAUCCAAUGUGCAAUUAUGUAUGCAAAUCAAAGCACUACAGCAGUAUUUCUCAAGAUGUGGUCCUCAGGCUUCCUACAUCAGAAUCACCCCAGAUAUUAAUAAAUAAAUUCCUGAACUGAACCCCGAAUGUCUUGAAUCAGAAUGUUUGUCGAUGGGGAUGUGAAAUCUGCACUUUUAACAAGCAGAUAUUUUUAGUUAUAAGAUCAUAUGUGUUUUUUUUUUUUUUUUUAAUUUGG
Molecule: long non-coding RNA, 1167 nt
Filed under: Equus caballus (horse)
Lineage: Eukaryota; Metazoa; Chordata; Mammalia; Perissodactyla; Equidae
Description: lncRNA (ENSECAG00000047577.1)
Source: RNAcentral